AACUUUUAGCAAUGGAUCACUUGGUUCUGGCAUCGAUGAAGAACGCAGCGAAAUGCGAUAAGUAGUAUGAAUUGCAGAAUUCAGUGAAUCAUCGAAUCUUUGAACGCACAUUGCGCCCCUUGGUAUUCCAUGGGGCAUGCCUGUUCGAGCGUCAUUUGUACCCUCAAGCUCUGCUUGGUGUUGGGUGUUUGUCCUUGCCACUGCGUUUGGACUCACCUCAAAGCAAUUGGCAGCCAGUGUAUUGGUUUUAAGCGCAGCACAUUUUGCGUCUUACUCCCUGUAACACUUGCGUCCAUCAAGCCUUUUUAUCACUUUUGACCUCGGAUCAGGUAGGGAUACCCGCUGAACUUAAGCAUAUCAAUAAGCGGAGGCU
RNAcentral lists this unclassified non-coding RNA (373 nucleotides) under uncultured Pleosporales. Its description in RNAcentral is "sequence contains ITS2". The stretch from base 1 to 154 matches the Rfam family "5.8S ribosomal RNA". Lineage: Eukaryota; Fungi; Ascomycota; Dothideomycetes; Pleosporales. The record is from RNAcentral.